RNAcentral lists this ribosomal RNA (497 nucleotides) under uncultured bacterium. RNAcentral's name for it is "partial 16S ribosomal RNA". It matches the Rfam family "Bacterial small subunit ribosomal RNA", at positions 28 to 507 of the family's 1533-position model. The record is from RNAcentral.
GAUGAACGCUGGCGGCGUGCCUAAUACAUGCAAGUCGAGCGAACGGACGAGAAGCUUGCUUUUCUGAUGUUAGCGGCGGACGGGUGAGUAACACGUGGAUAACCUACCUAUAAGACUGGGAUAACUUCGGGAAACCGGAGCUAAUACCGGAUAAUAUUUCGAACCGCAUGGUUCAAAAGUGAAAGACGGUCUUGCUGUCACUUAUAGAUGGAUCCGCGCUGCAUUAGCUAGUUGGUAAGGUAACGGCUUACCAAGGCAACGAUGCAUAGCCGACCUGAGAGGGUGAUCGGCCACACUGGAACUGAGACACGGUCCAGACUCCUACGGGAGGCAGCAGUAGGGAAUCUUCCGCAAUGGGCGAAAGCCUGACGGAGCAACGCCGCGUGAGUGAUGAAGGUCUUCGGAUCGUAAAACUCUGUUAUUAGGGAAGAACAUAUGUGUAAGUAACUGUGCACAUCUUGACGGUACCUAAUCAGAAAGCCACGGCUAACUACGCG